CNUCCGUAGGUGAACCUGCGGAAGGAUCAUU
This 31-nucleotide ribosomal RNA is filed under the name Campylophyllum montanum. RNAcentral's name for it is "partial 18S ribosomal RNA". Lineage: Eukaryota; Viridiplantae; Streptophyta; Bryopsida; Hypnales; Hypnaceae. The record is from RNAcentral.